UGGGGAAUUUUGGACAAUGGGGGCAACCCUGAUCCAGUAAUGCCGCGUGAGUGAAGAAGGCCUUCGGGUUGUAAAGCUCUUUUGUCAGGGAAGAAACACCGGCUCUAACACAGUCUGAGAAUGACGGUACCUGAAGAAUAAGCACCGGCUAACUACGUGCCAGCAGCCGCGGUAAUACGUAGGGUGCGAGCGUUAAUCGGAAUUACUGGGCGUAAAGCGUGCGCAGGCGGUUGUACAAGACAGGCGUGAAAUCCCCGGGCUUAACCUGGGAAUGGCGCCUGUGACCGUACGGCUAGAGCGUGUCAGAGGGGGGUAGAAUUUCACGUGUAGCAGUGAAAUGCGUAGAUAUGUGAAGGAAUACCAGUGGCGAAGGCAGCCCCCUGGGAUAACACUGACGCUCAUGUACGAAAGCGUGGGGAGCAAACAGG
This 428-nucleotide ribosomal RNA is filed under the name uncultured bacterium. RNAcentral describes it as "bacterial SSU rRNA". It matches the Rfam family "Bacterial small subunit ribosomal RNA", at positions 355 to 776 of the family's 1533-position model. The record is from RNAcentral.